Molecule: ribosomal RNA, 508 nt
Filed under: uncultured Spartobacteria bacterium
Lineage: Bacteria; Pseudomonadati; Verrucomicrobiota; Spartobacteria
Description: bacterial SSU rRNA
Rfam family: Bacterial small subunit ribosomal RNA
Source: RNAcentral
GAGUUUGAUCCUGGCUCAGAACGAACGCUGGCGGCGUGGAUAAGACAUGCAAGUCGAACGGGAUAUUGUUUGUAGCAAUACAGAUAAUGUCCAGUGGCGUAAGGGUGCGUAACACGUGGGCAAUCUGCCGAGAAGUGGGGGAUAGCUCGCCGAAAGGCGAAUUAAUACCGCAUGUGGUCAGUGAAGACAUCUUCACAACACUAAAGCCGGGGCAACCUGGCGCUUCUUGAUGAGCCCGCGGCCUAUCAGCUAGUUGGUGAGGUAACGGCUCACCAAGGCUAUGACGGGUAGCUGGUCUGAGAGGACGACCAGCCACACUGGAACUGAGACACGGUCCAGACACCUACGGGUGGCAGCAGUCGAGAAUUUUUCUCAAUGGGGGAAACCCUGAAGGAGCGACGCCGCGUGGAGGAUGAAGGUCUUCGGAUUGUAAACUCCUGUCAUUUGGGAACAAUUGUUGGCGAUUAACUGUCGUCAGCUUGAUAGUACCAGAAGAGGAAGAGACGGC